CGCUAUGUAAAUCAGUACCUUACGUUAGCUGGCAGCACUCAUAAUGCUGGGGUCGGCGGUUCGACUCCGCCCCUUGCUACCA
This 82-nucleotide transfer RNA is filed under the name Marinobacter sp. X15-166B. Its description in RNAcentral is "tRNA-Met". The record is from RNAcentral. Lineage: Bacteria; Pseudomonadati; Pseudomonadota; Gammaproteobacteria; Pseudomonadales; Marinobacteraceae.